AAGACCUUGGCCAGGGCAGUAAUAUAAAGUGGAGAAAGAGUUUUCCACUAUCGAACUCGAGUCGAAUAAAUCUUGACAUAUGACAGACGAUGGGGGUUGACGAGUUGUCCAUGACCUCCGUCCUGUAGGGAUCCACGAUAGUAGGACUGUAUCACACGUUAACUGCACCUAGAGGUUCAUCAUUCCAUUCUACUGGGUAGCCACUACAUGCUGCUAGGUGUCACUGGUGGAUGGUGAGACUCAUAAGGAUUAUCUCGAUGAUCGAUAAACCCUA
This 274-nucleotide long non-coding RNA is filed under the name Phoenix dactylifera (date palm). RNAcentral's name for it is "long non-coding RNA (PDAC_LNC012973)". Lineage: Eukaryota; Viridiplantae; Streptophyta; Magnoliopsida; Arecales; Arecaceae. The record is from RNAcentral.